This 3549-nucleotide long non-coding RNA is filed under the name Cimex lectularius (bed bug). Its description in RNAcentral is "uncharacterized LOC112127122". The stretch from base 389 to 459 matches the Rfam family "mir-10 microRNA precursor family". Lineage: Eukaryota; Metazoa; Arthropoda; Insecta; Hemiptera; Cimicidae. The record is from RNAcentral.
CCAGCUCCCCCCAUGUUACUGUGGUGGGGGCUGCCAGAAAUCCUGGCCGUCCUAGUCUCUCGUCCAACUCCUCUCCACCACCAACGCAGGGAAGAGAAAACUUGGGGAAGCAGGAAAGCAGCACCUGCCUCACAUCUGCUCGUAAUUCAUUGAUAUGUACCGCCGAUUGCUCAGGAGCUGAGGGUCAUUUCAACCCAGGAAGUGGGACCGUAACAAAAUAGAAAAAAAAUCGAAAUCAAGACCUACAAUAACGGCAGCUGGACGUCUUCUUCUGGAUUCCGAAAAUUUCGUUUUUAAAAAUCACCUAGAUGGACGUGAAACGCAAAGGAGUCUGCCGAGACGUGAACGGGCGAGAAGACACGAAGACAUCGGUCCAGGGGUUAAUGCUCUACAUCUACCCUGUAGAUCCGAAUUUGUUUGAUGCAAAGCGACAAAUUCGGUUCUAGAGAGGUUUGUGUGGGGCAUAUACGUUUCCUGCAAUGAAAAACAAGAAAACUACUAAUCGUUAUUUAUAUAAUUGCAUUGUCAUUAGAAAUACUUAAAAUGUCAUCUUAUUAUAUGUAUUUAAAAUAUUGUUUACUUUAUACUUGCCGGAUUGUUAAUGCUGGAAAUAAGUUGUAAAAGGUUUUUUCACUAGUCAAUUAAGAAGAUAAAUGACCGUUAGGUGCAUAAAUUUGUUUUAAAUCUUUGUAUCUUUGCACAUGAGUGAAGGUCAAUUUUGCCUGAAUUUCACAUUGUAUUACCUCAACGCAUUAUGUAAAAUGGAGAAACUAUAAAAUAUUUUCAACAAGAAGUAAAAUGAUUAAAAUGAAAUUAAGGAAUUGAGUUUAUGCAGUUUUUUAAAUCAUUAUUGUGUUUUAAUUAUAAUUAUAAAUAACAUGUUAGUUUAUAAUAUGUACUUUUUUACGAAGGAAUUUUUCACUGAAUUAUCUUACAAUCAAAUUAAAAUUUUGAAGAUUCCUGCAGAAACUUUGCACAUAUUCUAAUGUUACAUAUUUUCUUUUGAUAUUUAGAAAAAAAAACCUGGCCUUUUAAAUAUCAUUUCUUAUAUAAUUUUUGGAUAAUGUUCAACCCUUCGGCAAAAUAAUUAAUUUUUUACAUCAAAACAUAAUUUCAUCGCUGACUGUACAAUGGCCGAAAAAAUUAGCAUAUAGCGUAGUUAUUAAAUUUAAAAAAAUUCUGAUAAAAUACUAUUCCCAUAUGAAAAAACUUACUAUUUACAACUUGAGGUGGACAACUUCACAUUUAACUUCAUGCUCUGAGGUCUAAACAUUUUAAUUUUCUGACUUCAAAUAGUAAAAAUUAUGGUACACAUGUAACAUCUUGUCAUAUUAAUAAAACAUGGGGGGGAAGUUCGCCUGGAACGUCAAAUUUUAAACUCAAAGUGUAAAAACGGUCACUCUUUACUGUGUAAAAAGCACCAUUUUAUGUCGGAAAUUAAUUGUUUGUUUCAUAAGUUGUAAGAAAUAGUACCAUCAAUAAUAAAAACUUAAUCAGGUUGGAAAAAAUAAGUUAUUAUAUGUCGUUUUUUGGAAGGAAAAAUUAUAAUCUAAAGAAGUAAAAAUUGCAGUUUAAAAUGAACGCCCUGUUUCUCAGUAAAAAUACAUAAUUCACUUUUUAUUAUUCGCCAGAGAGUAUGUCUUAUAAACUGUAAGAAAGGGCGUUAAUGCCUUGUAUGUUGGUAAAAAAAUAUGCUAUUCUAUGUUGUAAAUUAUUAGUUUGACUUGUAAAUUGUAUGCAAGGGCAAAUCUAAAGAUGUAAAAAUUGUAAUACAUUCACCUUUGUUAUGUUAGUAAAAGACCACCAUUCCAUAUUGUUUUUAUUGUAUUACAUAAGGGCAAAUUAAUGUCUGAUGACAUUAAUCCAAUGUCUUUGGACUUGUUACAUUUAAAAACGGUAGUUUCUGUAGUUCAAUAGCAUAAAUACAGUUUGUAAUAGUGCAUAUAAUUUGAAAAAGUACAAUAUAUUCAUUUAACAUAACUUAAAAUUAACAAAAACACAUAAAGUGUUUUCUACACGGGCAUAUGUUGAACUUACAGUUGAAAUUGUGUAGGAUACAUUUCUCCCCAUGUUAUAUUGAUAAUUUAGCGAAUUAUUCUACGUGAAAAUUAAUUGCUUGCCUAAUAAGUUGUGUGCAAGAACGUAGUUCAUUUGAAAUUCUUAAAUUGUAAAACAGUAGUUUCCAUAGAUUACUGGCAUAUUAUAUUGCAAUCCUUUUGAAAUAGUAAAUGUAUUAUUUUAACAUUGUUUCCUAUAUUUAAUUAAACAAAGAUUUUAUUUAACUCAUUAUGUGCUUUACAAGAACAUAUAAAAAGUGUUGUAUUCAAGGAGAGGUUUUGAACUUGAAGUUGCAAAGAUUGUAGCAUACAUUCAAUAUGUUGUUAUGUGAACGAAAAGUACAUAAUUCUACGUGGAAAUUAAAUGUUUGUCUUUUACGACGUCUGAAAGAGCUAAUUUUGAAUUUAGAAUUGAACAAAUUAUAGCAUACAUUCAAGCCCUCGUUAUGUUAAUAAAAAGUACACAUUUCACGUGGAAAUUAAUUGUCUUAUACGUUGUCAGAAUGGACUAAUUAAACUUAAGUGCAACUCUUGCAGGGUACUUACAAUCCCUUGCUCUGAGAAGUUGUCUAAAAGGACAAAUUUCGGAUUCGAAUUUGUAAAAAUCAUACAAUUAAUACACUGUUAUGUUAACUAAAGGAAUACACCUCUCCUCUUUCUGAAAUUAAUUGUUUUUUUGAUAGGAAGUCUGAAAGAGCUAUUUUUUACUUUCGAACUUACUUUUAAAACGGUAGUUUCCAGAGUUUAAUGGGUUAAAUACAUUGUAUAAUAUUAACAAUAUUGAUAUUAAAUGAUUAAUAUUAAUGUACAUUAAUGUUAAUAAUAUUUUGAAAUAGUACAUUCAUCUAACGAAAUUACUUAUAUAAUUAUUUGUAUAUUUUUUAACAAUAAUUAUUUUUGUGAUUGAUUAUCAAUCAACCUCAAUGUUGUAAUUGUAUACCAAUCAGGGAUAAGAGGGGUUUUAUAUAAAAUAUAUAAAAUUAAAAAUUACUUAAAAACAACUUACAACCAAGAAAAGCACAUAAAGUAUAUUCUAUAUAUACAUACAUCAUACGCAUAUAAACAAAAAUAUAAGACAAUAUUUGUCUGACAGUGAGGAGAACAUCUUUUGCUUUGUAAUUAAAUUUCCCAUUAAAAGUACGAAAUUGUGUUUAUCUGGCCUUCUUUCGUAUUUAAUGUUAACUAAAUGAAAGUAAUAAUACAAUUGCUUUAAGAUAUUCAACAGAAAAAAAAACACAUUUCACCAACUGUUUUAAGAAGUAAGGAAAAAGAGAAUUUUAAAUCUGAAAUAACAUUUAUCUCUAUAAUCGAUAGAUCAAGAAUCAAAAAUAUCUGCUACGUGUGAUCAUCAAUGAUGAACUGGUACUAAUUACUGACUUAUAAAAGUUCAACUUCGUACAAGUAUUUCAAUACAUCCUCACUGUUGGCUCCAAAAAGCAGAGCAGGGGAACCACAUGUUCACAAGAACUUGAUCAAUAUUUAACAUGUUACA